This 744-nucleotide ribosomal RNA is filed under the name Ankistrodesmus sp. RS-2012. RNAcentral describes it as "eukaryotic LSU rRNA". The stretch from base 283 to 436 matches the Rfam family "5.8S ribosomal RNA". The record is from RNAcentral. Lineage: Eukaryota; Viridiplantae; Chlorophyta; Chlorophyceae; Sphaeropleales; Selenastraceae.
AGGAGAAGUCGUAACAAGGUUUCCGUAGGUGAACCUGCGGAAGGAUCAUUGAAUUAUCAAAACCACAAUGUGAACCGGUUUGUCCCACGCUUUUGCACAGCGCGGUGCCAUGCGCUGGCGGGCCCUGGGAUUGCACUCGCAAGGGUGCAUUCUUGGGGUUAUCUGUGCAAUUGCGUGUUUUUCCCACACCCAGUGUUUUCACUGAGUUGUGCCUUUCUUGGGCGCAGCCAAACCUAACCUCUGAAGAAAGGUUGUCAUACACUGACAAUCACAAACGAAAACAACUCUCAACAACGGAUAUCUUGGCUCUCGCAACGAUGAAGAACGCAGCGAAAUGCGAUACGUAGUGUGAAUUGCAGAAUUCCGUGAACCAUCGAAUCUUUGAACGCAUAUUGCGCUCGAGCCUUCGGGCAAGAGCAUGUCUGCCUCAGCGUCGGUUUACACCCUCACACCCCUAUUUUUAUUGAUAGCGUCAAGCCUUAUUCUAGGCUUGCGGGUGUGGAAUUGGCUUCCUCAAUCGAUCUUGCAAUUGAUUGGGUUGGCUGAAGUUUAGAGGCUUGAGCAAGGACCCGUUAUGGGCAUCAACUGGAUAGGUAGUGCCAGCCAUUCGGCUGUCUACACGAAGUUGUUGCUUGUGGACUUUGCUGGGGGCCAGCAGGAAACACGCUUUUGCAUGCCCUAAACUUUCGACCUGAGCUCAGACAAGACUACGGACUGAACUUAAGCAUAUCAAUAAGCGGAGGA